Molecule: long non-coding RNA, 977 nt
Filed under: Amborella trichopoda
Lineage: Eukaryota; Viridiplantae; Streptophyta; Magnoliopsida; Amborellales; Amborellaceae
Description: long non-coding RNA (ATRI_LNC005517)
Source: RNAcentral
UUAUAUGAUAGAAUUAUUUGACUUACAAUAGUUUUUGUACGAACCUUGUCCAAAGUAUUGAUACUUGAAAAAAUUACACAAGAACCCCAAAACUACACUUUCUAUGCAAUUUACCCCCAACCUAUCUUUUUCUCUCAUUUUUUUCUCCGAAACAAACUUUCUAUGUAAGUACCCCCCAAUGGAAAAAGUUCAUUUUUUUUAGACGGAAAUGCUCUUCUCGUACACAAAAAUCAUUUUUUCCAGAUCUGACGUUGACUUGUGGACCCCAAUAGCCGGACCGCCCUAAGACAAUUACAGGACGAAAACUAUGUACUACCGGAUCGCCCGCUACAUAGUUCUGGAGUCCUGGAAUCUAAUAACAUCUACUGCCAGACCGCCCUUUACAACUGCGGGACCGCAUUUUACAUGGUGUCGAAGACCUACUGCCAGACCGCACUUUAAACAGUGUCGGAGCUCUACUGUCGGACCACACUUUACAUAGUGCCGGAGCCCUACUGCCAAACCACAGUUACACAGCGCCGGAGACCCUAUUUUGGUGGGAUAGAGGAGAGAAGCGUGGGUAAGGUAAAAGUAAGGGACGGUAGUUUAGGUAUUUUUUUUAUUUUUUAUUUUGGUUGGGGGCAUUUGCAUAGAAAGUGUGUUUUAGGAAAAAAAAAGUGAAAGAAAAAGUUAGGUUGGGGUAAGUUUCAUAGAAUGUGUAAUCUUAAGUUUUUUUUGUAAUUUUCCCUUAACAUUUUAUAUGAGUGGGUUACGCAUGCCUAUUUAUAAUUGUUCUUAUAGUCAAUGGAUGCAAAGUUGAGGCUACUACUUUUCUCUUAGCCCUUGAUUCAAAUGAAGUUAUGUAGAAUUAAAAAACUUAUUUAAUUUUUUAUUUUGAUUUUCAUAGGUUCGAGUUGAUCGCUAUAUUUGGAGCGAGCAAAUCCAGGCUGAAAGAAGAAGAAUUUGUGAGAAAAUGUGGUUGUAAGAAAUUAUGGUGG